Molecule: RNA transcript, 3348 nt
Organism: Myotis myotis
Lineage: Eukaryota; Metazoa; Chordata; Mammalia; Chiroptera; Vespertilionidae
Gene: STXBP3
Gene name: syntaxin binding protein 3
Exons: 19
Source: RefSeq, a predicted model, not a curated record
GGCGCGGCCGGUGGGGGGCGUGGCCACCGGAGCGCCCCAAAUCCCCGCUGAAGUAGGUGGCGAGCCAGCGGGAGGCGGCGGUCGCUCCUCCGCAGCGACGGGAAGAUGGCGCCGCCGGAGACGGAACGGGGGCUGAAGAGCGUCGUGUGGCAGAAAAUAAAAGCAGCAGUGUUUGAUGACUGCAAGAAAGAAGACGAAUGGAAGAUAAUGCUUUUAGAUGAAUUUACCACUAAGCUUUUGGCAUCGUGUUGCAAAAUGACAGAUCUUCUAGCAGAGGGUAUAACUGUUGUGGAGAAUAUUUAUAAGAUUCGGGAGCCUGUCAGACAGAUGAAAGCUCUUUAUUUUAUCUCUCCAACAUCAAAGUCUGUAGACUGUUUUUUACGUGACUUUCCAAGUAAGUCGGAGAGUAAAUAUAAAGCGGCAUACAUAUACUUCACUGACUUUUGCCCUGAUAGUCUCUUUAACAAAAUUAAGUCUUCUUGUUCCAAGUCAAUAAGAAGAUGUAAAGAAAUAAAUAUUUCCUUCAUUCCACUUGAAUCUCAGGUAUACACUCUUGAUGUACCAGAUGCAUUCUAUUACUGUUACAGUCCAGAUCCUAGUAAUGCAAAUGGAAAAGAUGCUGUAAUGGAAGCUAUGGCUGAGCAGAUAGUUACCGUGUGUGCUAGCCUUGAUGAAAAUCCCGGAGUAAGGUAUAAAAGUAAACCUCUAAAUAAUGCCAGUAAACUUGCCCAACUUGUUGAAAAAAAACUUGAAAAUUACUACAAGACUGACGAAAAGAGCCUAAUAAAGGGUAAAACUCAUUCCCAGCUCAUAAUAAUUGACCGUGGCUUUGAUCCUGUGUCCACUGUCCUGCAUGAACUGACGUUUCAGGCAAUGGCAUAUGAUCUACUGCCGAUUGAGAAUGAUACAUACAAAUAUAAAACUGACGGGAAAGAAAAGGAGGCGAUCCUUGAAGAAGAUGAUGACCUCUGGGUCAGAAUUCGACACCGGCAUAUUGCAGUUGUAUUAGAGGAAAUUCCCAAGCUUAUGAAGGAAAUUUCAUCAACAAAAAAAGCAACAGAAGGAAAGACAUCACUUAGUGCUCUUGCCCAACUAAUGAAAAAGAUGCCGCAUUUCCGAAAACAGAUUACUAAGCAAGUUGUUCAUCUUAACAUAGCAGAAGAUUGCAUGAAUAAAUUCAAGUCUAAUAUAGAAAAGCUCUGCAAAACUGAACAGGACCUGGCGCUGGGAACUGAUGCAGAAGGACAGAAGGUGAAGGAUUCCAUGCGAGUGCUCUUGCCAGUUCUGCUCAGCAAAAACCACGAUAAUUAUGAUAAAAUACGAGCAAUCCUGCUCUAUAUCUUCAGUAAUAAUGGAACAACGGAAGAAAAUCUGGAUAGGCUGAUCCAGAAUGUAAAGAUAGAAAAUGAGAGUGAUAUGAUUCGUAACUGGAGUUACCUUGGUGUCCCCAUUGUCCCCCCGUCUCCACAAGGCAAACCAUCAAGAAAGGAUCGGUCUGCAGAAGAAACUUUCCAACUCUCUCGAUGGACACCUUAUAUCAAAGAUAUUUUGGAGGAUGCCAUUGAUAAUAGAUUAGAUUCAAAGGAAUGGCCAUAUUGUUCCCAGUGCCCAGCAGUGUGGAAUGGCUCAGGAGCUGUAAGGUGGCAGAUGGGAACCAUCAUCCCAAGGCUGGACAGACUGAGAACAUUUUAAAAAGUGUGCUGUGGGCUCCAACAUUGCAGGGUCUUAGAGGUCAACUAGAGCAUGGAUUCCAGAGUGGUAACAAGAUGAUUGUUGGGUACUUACUUAUACCUUAAAAAGGGAGAAAUUAAGUUUUAUUAAUGUACACUAGCACACACAUAAUUUAUAAACUAAUAUAGUAUAUUUUUAAUAGAUGCAUAAAAUAUUUAUUUUGAUAUAUUUAUUUACUUUUCAAAUACAAGUUCAAAAUUUUUACCAGUAGGGUACAAAAACAAAAACAGGUGAUCCCCAUGGUCUAGAGUAGACAGUGCUCUCUAGUGGCACCUUCUGCCGAGAGGGAAAAGUCCUGUAGCCACACUAUCCAGCUUGACAGCCACUAGCCACUGGAGCUGCUGAGCAUUGUAUGUGACCAGUGUGACCGAGGAACUGAAAUUUCCAUUUUAUUUAGUUUUAAUAAAUUUAAGUAGCUUCAUGUGACAAAGUGGCUACUGUAUUGGACAGUGCAUAUCUAAAGCAAUCUUGGGGAGAAAAUGGUAGAAAUAAUGGCUACUAUCUAUUGAGUGUUUUUGUGGUACCAAAUUCCAUACUUUGUGUGUUCUAAACGUUACUUCAUUUAAUCUGAAAACAACCCUUACAGUUUAGAGAGCAGUUAAGUAACUUGCUGAAAGUCAUAACUGCAUUAGAAAGAAGCAGAAUCAGAGUUGAAACUCAGGUCUAAUUCUUUUUUAAACAGCUUUAUUGAAGUAUAUGUAAUUGACGUAAUAACUUUGUAUAUGCCUUUAUACAUAUAAAAACAACUUGAUGUUUUGAUAUGUAUACAUUGUAAAAAGAUUACUACAGAUGUACCCAUCACUUUACAUAACUACUGUUUCUUCUUUUAUGUAUUUUUUGUGUGUGUGGUAAAAGGAUUUAACUUAAGAUCUACCCUCUUAGCGAAUUUCAAGUAUACAAUGCAGCUUUGUUUAUUCUGGUUUCGCUGCUGUACGUUGGAUCUCUAAAACAUAGUCAUUUUGCACAACUGAAACUUUGUGCCCUUUGACCAACAUUGCCUCAUUUCCCCCUCCCCUCAGCCCCUGGCAACUAACGUUUUGUUCUCUGCAUGUGUAAGUUUGACUGUUUUAGAUUCCACGUAUAAGUGAGAUUAUAUAGUAUUUGUCUUUCUGAGUCCGGCUUAUUUCACUUAACCUAAUGUCCUCUAGGUCCAUUUAUAUAGUUGCAAAUGGCAGAAUUCAUUUUUUAAGGCUGAGUAAUAUCCCAUUGUAUAUAUACACACCACAUUGUUUUUACCCACUUGCUCGUCGACAUUUAGGUUGUUUCGUAUCUUGGCUGUUGUGAAUAAUGCUGCUGUGAACAUGGGAGUGAAGAUGUCUUCAGUACCUCCCACCAUCAUACUCUACUGACUUUCAGCAAGGGAUGUCCCAAUACCACAUCAGCUCCUGCGAACCCCCCACCCCACCGUAUCUUUAAAUGCCUAUUGUUUCACCGCUACUUCCCUAUUUCUUUAACUUCAAGAAGCCAGAGACUUCAGUGCUCGCCAGAAACCCAGAGGUAAUUAUUUGGAAGACCGAAAAAACGGGUCCACGCUGAUUGUUUUUGUUAUCGGAGGAAUUACGUACUCUGAAAUGCGUUGUGCUUACGAAGUUUCUCAGGCACACAAAUCCUGUGGAG